Molecule: non-coding RNA, 323 nt
Organism: Pelobates cultripes (western spadefoot toad)
Lineage: Eukaryota; Metazoa; Chordata; Amphibia; Anura; Pelobatidae
Source: the annotation of a GenBank genome assembly
AAAACAACCAAUCAUAAAAAAAGUUGGGUACUAUAAAACUCCCCUCCCCACACAUAAUUUCCUCUUUCAGGUUUCGACCAAAACAGAACAAAAGGCAGAAAAAUAAUGGAAAAAAACUAAGUCCUAGAUACAAUGAAUACAACGAUGUCCACCAUUCCGAGAAGAACUGUCAAACCAGGUAGCGUUGACGGACUGUAAACUGAAACGAGAAAAAAACAGAAUCGAAAAGGUUGGUUAGCCAAUGAAAUGUACUCUGAACAAAACGUGGAGGCAUAGUAACAACCAGAAGAAACGGAUAAAAGAACAAGUGACAGGUAGCAGAG